Molecule: ribosomal RNA, 497 nt
Filed under: uncultured bacterium
Lineage: Bacteria
Description: partial 16S ribosomal RNA
Rfam family: Bacterial small subunit ribosomal RNA
Source: RNAcentral
GAUGAACGCUGGCGGCGUGCCUAAUACAUGCAAGUCGAGCGAACAGAUAAGGAGCUUGCUCCUUUGACGUUAGCGGCGGACGGGUGAGUAACACGUGGGUAACCUACCUAUAAGACUGGGAUAACUUCGGGAAACCGGAGCUAAUACCGGAUAACAUUUGGAACCGCAUGGUUCUAAAGUGAAAGAUGGUUUUGCUAUCACUUAUAGAUUGACCCGCGCCGUAUUAGCUAGUUGGUAAGGUAACGGCUUACCAAGGCAACGAUACGUAGCCGACCUGAGAGGGUGAUCGGCCACACUGGAACUGAGACACGGUCCAGACUCCUACGGGAGGCAGCAGUAGGGAAUCUUCCGCAAUGGGCGAAAGCCUGACGGAGCAACGCCGCGUGAGUGAUGAAGGGUUUCGGCUCGUAAAACUCUGUUAUUAGGGAAGAACAAAUGUGUAAGUAACUGUGCACGUCUUGACGGUACCUAAUCAGAAAGCCACGGCUAACUACGUG